RNAcentral lists this long non-coding RNA (229 nucleotides) under Malus domestica (apple). RNAcentral's name for it is "long non-coding RNA (MDOM_LNC003901)". Lineage: Eukaryota; Viridiplantae; Streptophyta; Magnoliopsida; Rosales; Rosaceae. The record is from RNAcentral.
UUCAAGCUCUCCUUUAGUGAGUACAAGUGAAUGAUUUAGUACAAAUGACAUUAGGAAAUAUUGUGGGAGAAUGAUCUCGUAACCACGAAACUUCUAAGUACCGGAGUGUGGUAUCGUCUUGACUUUCCUUAUCUGUCUCAUAGGUAGAUGUGGCAUCUUCUCUGGAAGUACUCUUCCUCCAUCCAGGGGUGGUAUCUGUAACUGGUGGAGAUGCACAAGGUAAUGUAUC